RNAcentral lists this ribosomal RNA (305 nucleotides) under uncultured bacterium. RNAcentral's name for it is "bacterial SSU rRNA". It matches the Rfam family "Bacterial small subunit ribosomal RNA", at positions 333 to 649 of the family's 1533-position model. The record is from RNAcentral.
AGUGUCCUACGGGACGCAGCAGUCGAGAAUCAUUCACAAUGGGGGAAACCCUGAUGGUGCGACGCCGCGUGGGGGAAUGAAGGUCUUCGGAUUGUAACCCCCUGUCAUGUGGGAGCAAAUUAAAAAGAUAGUACCACAAGAGGAAGAGACGGCUAACUCUGUGCCAGCAGCCGCGGUAAUACAGAGGUCUCAAGCGUUGUUCGGCAUCACUGGGCGUAAAGCGUGCGUAGGCUGUUUCGUAAGUCGUGUGUGAAAGGCGCGGGCUCAACCCGCGGACGGCACAUGAUACUGCGAGCAUAGAGUAA